GCUAGUCGUGUGACUCAGGCAAAACGAGUCACGGCACACAGCUCAGUAACACGUGGCUAAUCUGCCCUUAGGACGAGAACAACCCCGGGAAACUGGGGCUAACUCUUGAUAGGUGAAGAACUCUGGAAUGAGUCUUUGCCUAAAUAGAUUCACGUUAUCCUCGUGAAUCUGCCUAAGGAUGAGGCCGCGACCGAUCAGGUUGUUGGCGAGGUAAUGGCUCACCAAGCCUUUUACCGGUGCGGGCCGUGGGAGCGGGAGCCCGGAGAUGGGUACUGAGACAAGGACCCAGGCCCUACGGGGCGCAGCAGUCGCGAAACCUUUGCAAUAAGCGAAAGCUUGACAGGGCUAUCCCGAGUGCCAUCCGCUGAGGAAGGCUUUUACCCAGUCUAGAACGCUGGGGGAAUAAGGAGAGGGCAAGUCUGGUGUCAGCCGCCGCGGUAAUACCAGCUCUUCGAGUGGUGUGGAUGUUUAUUGGGCCUAAAGCAUCCGUAGCUGGCUAGGUCAGUCCCUUGUUAAAUCCACCGAAUUAAUCGUUGGAUCGCGGGGGAUACUGCUUGGCUAGGGGACGAGAGAGGCAGACGGUAUUUUCGGGGUAGGGGUGAAAUCCUAUAAUCCCGGGAAGACCACCAGUGGCGAAGGCUGUCUGCUAGAACGCGCCCGACGGUGAGGGAUGAAAGCUG
Molecule: ribosomal RNA, 680 nt
Filed under: uncultured archaeon
Lineage: Archaea
Description: bacterial SSU rRNA
Rfam family: Archaeal small subunit ribosomal RNA
Source: RNAcentral